AGAACGAACGCUGGCGGCAUGCCUAACACAUGCAAGUCGAACGUGAUCCAUGACUUCGGUUGUGGUGAAAGUGGCAAACGGGUGAGUAACGCGUGGGAAUCUGCCCAGAGGUAGGGAAUAACCGCGGGAAACUGCGGCUAAUACCCUAUGUGCCCUACGGGGCAAAGAUUUAUCGCCUUUGGAGGAGCCCGCGUCGGAUUAGGUAGUUGGUAGGGUAACGGCCUACCAAGCCUACGAUCCGUAGCUGGUCUGAGAGGAUGAUCAGCCACACUGGGACUGAGAUACGGCCCAGACUCCUACGGGAGGCAGCAGUGGGGAAUAUUGGACAAUGGGGGCAACCCUGAUCCAGCAAUGCCGCGUGAGUGAUGAAGGCCUUCGGUUGUAAGCUCUUUCGGCGGGAAGAUGAUGACGGUACCCGCAGAAGAAGCCCCGGCUAACUUCGUGCCAGCAGCCGC
RNAcentral lists this ribosomal RNA (455 nucleotides) under uncultured bacterium. Its description in RNAcentral is "SSU rRNA". It matches the Rfam family "Bacterial small subunit ribosomal RNA", at positions 26 to 518 of the family's 1533-position model. The record is from RNAcentral.